This 74-nucleotide transfer RNA is filed under the name Stegodyphus mimosarum. It matches the Rfam family "tRNA". From Rfam's summary of the family: Transfer RNA (tRNA) molecules are approximately 80 nucleotides in length. Their secondary structure includes four short double-helical elements and three loops (D, anti-codon, and T loops). The record is from Rfam by way of RNAcentral. Lineage: Eukaryota; Metazoa; Arthropoda; Arachnida; Araneae; Eresidae.
GCCUUCGUGGUGUAAUGGUCAGCACGCUCGGCGCGUAUUCUAGAGGUCCGACGGUUCGAAUCCCGGCGCCGGCA